RNAcentral lists this ribosomal RNA (432 nucleotides) under uncultured bacterium. RNAcentral's name for it is "partial 16S ribosomal RNA". It matches the Rfam family "Bacterial small subunit ribosomal RNA", at positions 29 to 506 of the family's 1533-position model. The record is from RNAcentral.
AACGAACGCUGGCGGCAUGCCUAACACAUGCAAGUCGAACGAGACCUUCGGGUCUAGUGGCGCACGGGUGCGUAACGCGUGGGAACCUGCCCUUAGGUUCGGAAUAACUCCCCGAAAGGGGUGCUAAUACCGGAUAAUGUCUUCGGACCAAAGAUUUAUCGCCUUUGGAUGGGCCCGCGUUGGAUUAGCUAGUUGGUAGGGUAAAAGCCUACCAAGGCGACGAUCCAUAGCUGGUCUGAGAGGAUGAUCAGCCACACUGGGACUGAGACACGGCCCAGACUCCUACGGGAGGCAGCAGUGGGGAAUAUUGGACAUUGGGCGAAAGCCUGAUCCAGCAAUGCCGCGUGAGUGAUGAAGGCCUUAGGGUUGUAAAGCUCUUUUACCCGGGAUGAUAAUGACAGUACCGGGAGAAUAAACUCCGGCUAACUCCGU